This 331-nucleotide ribosomal RNA is filed under the name Branchiodrilus sp. M4. Its description in RNAcentral is "partial large subunit ribosomal RNA". It matches the Rfam family "Bacterial large subunit ribosomal RNA", at positions 1956 to 2526 of the family's 2925-position model. The record is from RNAcentral. Lineage: Eukaryota; Metazoa; Annelida; Clitellata; Tubificida; Naididae.
GUAGCAUAAUCACUUGCCCAUUAAUUGUGGGCUAGAAUGAAUGGAAAAACGAAGUAAUAGCUGUCUCUAGUAGUAAAAUAAAAACUAAUCUUUCAGUGAAGAAGCUGGAAUAAAAUCACAGGACAAGAAGACCCUAUAGAGCUUUAUUUUUAAUACAUAACAAAAAUGUAAAAAAAUUCAGUUGGGGCGACUAAGGAAAAAUCAUCCUAAAACAUAAUAGACAAACUAGUCAGACAAAAGAUCCUAAACAUAGAUCAAAGAAACAAGCUACCUUAGGGAUAACAGGCUAAUCCUCCUGGAAAGUCCAAAUUUAUAGGAGGGGUUGGCACCU